This 1425-nucleotide long non-coding RNA is filed under the name Nicotiana tabacum (common tobacco). RNAcentral's name for it is "long non-coding RNA (NTAB_LNC004527)". The record is from RNAcentral. Lineage: Eukaryota; Viridiplantae; Streptophyta; Magnoliopsida; Solanales; Solanaceae.
AUAAUUCAAGUUCUCUCUAAUACAAAGCUUCCUUUAACAAUUCUCUUGUAUUCUUUCUUCCAUUCUCUUAGCGAUCUUGAGUGUAGUAAGGCUGACUUGACAUAGCAAGAACGUGAGCAAGUUGUGAAAGAUCGUGAGCGAGUUGUCAAGUGCCGCACAUGUACUUAGUUAACAACUAAGAACGUGACACUAUGGACUCUCGAGGUCCCCUAACUCCUCAACAACCCCUUCGAUAUUCACAAUAUGCUAUGUAUUGUUUUUCUGGCUGCUAACCAUGAUAUCCAAAUUAGUUAAUGUCAAAAUGUUUCCUUUUGUUUGAGUUUUGAGCCUUAUUCUGCUCUGGUACCAAUUGUUAUGUGACAUUAUCAACAUGAGGUAAGGCAAUCGAUGUUUGUGGUCACUUUUCGUCCAUUGGAUGACUGAUAGAUCGCACUAAGUAUACUAGAUUUGAAUGUUAGUAUCAUACCUUUAGAGAGGCAUAUCACCAAUUUUAAGUUAGCAGUGUAUGCAAAAAGAAGUUAAUAACAACAUAUCUGUAUUGAAGAUUAAGUAUUGAUUACAAGAGAACUAACAUAAUAUCAUAAGGGAGACCAAUAUAAAGACCUGCUUGCUUUUUGAGAACUUUGACUACUUGACCCUCCUUUCUAUGUCAUAAUUAAUUUAACAAAGUUACAUUACUAGAUUUAAAAGGCCUAAAAGGCAUAAUUGAAAGACAGUGUAUACGGUCAAAAUCAAGUAUGCCCGAUUUAGUGGGCUCGAGGAACUACUUCAAGAAUAAGUCCAAAGUACAUGGGGUUCGAGGCCGAUGGCAGAGUUCGAAGUUCGAAGAUUAAAGCGAUCGAUGAAUGUCGAGGCCGAACGUGACCAGCCUCGAGAUAAUGCCGUUGUCGCUUUGUAACAGAAAGAGCAAGAUUACUACCACGUUCCCAAGAUUGUGGCUUAAAUUCAGAAAUAGAUUUGUACGAGUUAGUAUGAAUUCGUACUAAGCGGUUAGACAACUGUCCCAAUAAGAUUCCUUACUGUAAAUAGAAAUUCACCUUAUCUAGGAUUCCCCUACUAUAUAAAGGGGACUCCAAUCAUUUGUAAACAUCAUCAAUCAUUGGCAAAAGAAUAUACUCUCUCACUUUCUCGCUCAUUAUUCAUCAGAAUUGUCCUUUAGCUUUAUUAUUCUUACUUUACUCUUCAUGAUCCACCUCGAACUCUGCCAUCGGCCUCGAGAUAAUGCCGUUGUGGCUUUGUAACAGAAAGAGAAAGAUUACUACCACGUUCCCAAGAUUGUGGCAUAAAUUCAGAAAUAGAUUUGUACGAGUUAGUAUGAAUUCGUACUAAGCGGUUAGACAACUGUCCCAAUAAGAUUCCUUACUGUAAAUAGAAAUGCACCUUAUCUAGGAUUCCCCUACUAUAUAAAGGGGACUCCAAUCAUUU